UACGUAGGGGGCAAGCGUUGUCCGGAUUUAUUGGGCGUAAAGAGCGUGUAGGCGGCCAAACAGGUCAGCUGUGAAAACUCGAGGCUCAACCUCGAGACGUCGGUUGAAACCGUUUGGCUAGAGUCCGGAAGAGGAGAGUGGAAUUCCCGGUGUAGCGGUGAAAUGCGCAGAUAUCAGGAGGAACACCGGUGGCGAAGGCGGGUCUCUGGGCCGAUAUUGACGCUGAGGAGCGAAAGCGUGGGGAGCGAACAGG
RNAcentral lists this ribosomal RNA (253 nucleotides) under uncultured bacterium. Its description in RNAcentral is "partial 16S ribosomal RNA". It matches the Rfam family "Bacterial small subunit ribosomal RNA", at positions 524 to 776 of the family's 1533-position model. The record is from RNAcentral.